UUCAGCAAAUGAUACAAAAUU
Molecule: non-coding RNA, 21 nt
Organism: Caenorhabditis elegans
Lineage: Eukaryota; Metazoa; Nematoda; Chromadorea; Rhabditida; Rhabditidae
Source: Ensembl